Molecule: long non-coding RNA, 1108 nt
Filed under: Olea europaea subsp. europaea
Lineage: Eukaryota; Viridiplantae; Streptophyta; Magnoliopsida; Lamiales; Oleaceae
Source: RNAcentral
UCUAGGGCAUAACACUUACAGUUUACAGCAGAUAUUAUCAUGUUUUCAGUGAAGGUGAACUUGAAAGGUAAAGAAUUGUUUUCUAUUCAUAGUUUAAUUUGUUUAAAUAAUGCUACUCUAUUAUCUAUUCAAUUUUUCAUAAAUGCUUGCUAUGGUUUUUAUUCCUGAUCAGCUUGCAUAUUGUCAAAUACAAUAGAGUAGUGGCUCUCAGCUUGCAUUAUGAUGCAGUUUGCUUAUUAUCGUUGGAUUUCCGCUUUAAUUUGGUUCUUUGCUAAUAAUUCAUGAUCUUUGAGAAUUAAUAACAGGAACCAUUAUAGUUAUCAUUUUUUUUAUUUUUUUGGAUGAAUCUAACAUUCAAUGUUAUGCAAAGCGAUCUCAUUUACACUGUUUUGUCUUUUGAAUUAAUGUUCUACUCUGUAUUUCAAUCUGCAGGUUAGUGUCUAGCGUGAAUGGCGCUGUAAUUGUUGACAGAUUUUAUGACAAAUCAAAUUGGUGCGUUAUUCUUGAGAAAACUUCGUCAUGAUGUGAUGGUCAAUAUAGCAAUUCAUGGAACUCUGAUCUUGCAACCUAAGAGCUGCACAAAUCAGGAUAUAUACAUUUCAAAGUAAGCAAGAUUUGGGAGUGCUUUGUUUGAUUACCUUCCCAAAAAAAAAAAGGGAGUUGAGAGUGCUUUGCGGAACAAGGAACCAAAAAUUUGGUAUAGUUCUAGUUAAACUUUUUAGGGAGUCUCCUCUUUCCAUGCUCGAAGUGGAGAAGAGUCCACGUACAAGUUUUCUCCUUGAUUUUGCAUCUCGAGGAUUGCUUGAAUAGGUACAUUUGGCCAUCUUUUCCUAACCCAGUUAUUUUUUAUUUUUCGGAAUUAUUGUGCUUCAGUCUUGUUUUCACUGUAUAAGUAGUUCCUUUUGUAAGAAGCAUCAGUACAUGAUUAUCUCAUGAAAAAUACUGCUUCUUGUUAUUUCAAUUGCUAACGGAACCAAAGGACCGCUUCUUCUUGUUUCAAUUGCAUUGAAUUUGCUUGUAUUCUGAAAUGAUUUAUAAGUUGGACGGUAUAAUAUUUAAAAAUUUAUUAAUGAGACACAAGUUGUAGUUGCGAUAUGCUUAAGCACAA